This 566-nucleotide ribosomal RNA is filed under the name uncultured bacterium. Its description in RNAcentral is "partial 16S ribosomal RNA". It matches the Rfam family "Bacterial small subunit ribosomal RNA", at positions 355 to 914 of the family's 1533-position model. The record is from RNAcentral.
UGGGGAAUUUUGGACAAUGGGCGAAAGCCUGAUCCAGCAAUGCCGCGUGUGUGAAGAAGGCCUUCGGGUUGUAAAGCACCUUUGUCCGGAAAGAAAUCCUUGGCUCUAAUACAGUCGGGGGAUGACGGUACCGGAAGAAUAAGCACCGGCUAACUACGUGCCAGCAGCCGCGGUAAUACGUAGGGUGCAAGCGUUAAUCGGAAUUACUGGGCGUAAAGCGUGCGCAGGCGGUUUGCUAAGACCGAUGUGAAAUCCCCGGGCUCAACCUGGGAACUGCAUUGGUGACUGGCAGGCUAGAGUAUGGCAGAGGGGGGUAGAAUUCCACGUGUAGCAGUGAAAUGCGUAGAGAUGUGGAGGAAUACCGAUGGCGAAGGCAGCCCCCUGGGCCAAUACUGACGCUCAUGCACGAAAGCGUGGGGAGCAAACAGGAUUAGAUACCCUGGUAGUCCACGCCCUAAACGAUGUCAACUAGUUGUUGGGGAUUCAUUUCCUUAGUAACGUAGCUAACGCGUGAAGUUGACCGCCUGGGGAGUACGGUCGCAAGAUUAAAACUCAAAGGAAUUGAC